RNAcentral lists this ribosomal RNA (468 nucleotides) under uncultured bacterium. RNAcentral describes it as "partial 16S ribosomal RNA". It matches the Rfam family "Bacterial small subunit ribosomal RNA", at positions 28 to 507 of the family's 1533-position model. The record is from RNAcentral.
GACGAACGCUGGCGGCGUGCUUAACACAUGCAAGUCGAACGGAAAGGCCCUGCUUUUGUGGGGUGCUCGAGUGGCGAACGGGUGAGUAACACGUGAGUAACCUGCCCUUGACUUUGGGAUAACUUCUGGAAACUGGGGCUAAUACCGGAUAGGAGCUCCUGCUGCAUGGUGGGGGUUGGAAAGUUUCGGCGGUUGGGGAUGGACUCGCGGCUUAUCAGCUUGUUGGUGGGGUAGUGGCUUACCAAGGCUUUGACGGGUAGCCGGCCUGGGAGGGUGACCGGACAAAGCGGGAUGGAGAUGAGCCACGGCCCCGACGGGGAGGGGAGGGGGGAGUGGUGGACAUAGGGGGAGGGGCCCGAGGCCGAACCCGCGGUGUGGGGUGGGGGGUGCGGGGGUUAGGAAUGUAAUGCCCUUUGACACGGGGUGAGAGUGAGAGUAAUGGGAAAAGAAGCUCCGGCUAACUCCGGG